This 266-nucleotide long non-coding RNA is filed under the name Selaginella moellendorffii. Its description in RNAcentral is "long non-coding RNA (SMOE_LNC001769)". The record is from RNAcentral. Lineage: Eukaryota; Viridiplantae; Streptophyta; Lycopodiopsida; Selaginellales; Selaginellaceae.
CUUGAUCGAAUCAUCAAAGACACAAGGCCAAGUUUGGACUCCAGAGAUCCUCUUCAAUGUGUACUUGCGAUGAUCGGGGAGAGAGGUUUUGUGGAGAACAUAUUUCUGAACGAGGAGACUCGAGAAAGAAAAUGGCAAAGAUCAGGUUCUACAGGGAAAAAAAGUGAUCAGUGCUCGAUAGAUUCACAUACCCUGGUAAGACAGUCAGAGUUGUUUUAAAUUCACAAUCUUCCACCAUGAACUUGAAAUCUUUAACCUGUGAAUUA